GAUGAACGCUGGCGGCGUGCUUAACACAUGCAAGUCGAACGAUGAAGCCCAGCUUGCUGGGUGGAUUAGUGGCGAACGGGUGAGUAACACGUGAGUAACCUGCCCUUGACUCUGGGAUAAGCCUGGGAAACUGGGUCUAAUACUGGAUAUGACUUCUCAUCGCAUGGUGGGGGGUGGAAAGAUUUAUUGGUCUUGGAUGGACUCGCGGCCUAUCAGCUUGUUGGUGAGGUAAUGGCUCACCAAGGCGACGACGGGUAGCCGGCCUGAGGGGGUGGCCGGCCACACUGGGACUGAGACACGGCCCAGACUCCUACGGGAGGCAGCAGUGGGGAAUAUUGCACAAUGGGCGCAAGCCUGAUGCAGCGACGCCGCGUGAGGGAUGACGGCCUUCGGGUUGUAAACCUCUUUCAGUAGGGAAGAAGCGAGAGUGACGGUACCUGCAGAAGAAGCGCCGGCUAACUACGUG
Molecule: ribosomal RNA, 466 nt
Filed under: uncultured bacterium
Lineage: Bacteria
Description: partial 16S ribosomal RNA
Rfam family: Bacterial small subunit ribosomal RNA
Source: RNAcentral